UUAAUACUCCCUCCAUCCGAAAAUACUUGACAUCAAAAUAAAUAAAAGGAGAUGUAACUAGAACUAAAAUACGUCUAGAUACAUCCCUUUUUAUUCAUUUUGAUGACAAGUAUUUUCGGACGGAGGGAGUAAUAU
Non-coding RNA from Triticum aestivum (bread wheat), 135 nucleotides. Lineage: Eukaryota; Viridiplantae; Streptophyta; Magnoliopsida; Poales; Poaceae. The record is from Rfam.